UGACUACCAGUGUCCAAUAAUGCUCGUGC
Molecule: small RNA, 29 nt
Filed under: Bombyx mori (domestic silkworm)
Lineage: Eukaryota; Metazoa; Arthropoda; Insecta; Lepidoptera; Bombycidae
Description: ovarian small RNA-31866
Source: RNAcentral